Molecule: long non-coding RNA, 1326 nt
Filed under: Gallus gallus (chicken)
Lineage: Eukaryota; Metazoa; Chordata; Aves; Galliformes; Phasianidae
Description: lncRNA (ENSGALG00010016063.1)
Source: RNAcentral
AGGCUUGUGAAGGGCUUGGCUUGGAGAAUAUGCUGUAGAAGAACAGACUGAAGGAACUGGGGCUGUUUAGUCUGAGGAAAAGGAGGCUGAGGGGAGACCUUAUUGCUCUCUUCCAGUAACUGAAAGGUGAUUACAGUGAGAGUGGGGUUGGUCUCUUCUCACUGGUGACAGGUGACAGAAUGAGGGGAAAUGGCCUUAAGUUGUGCCAGGGUAAGUUUAACUUGGAUAUCAGGACAAACUUCUUUACAGAAAGGGUGGUAAAGCACUGGAAUAGGCUCCCCAUGGAGGUGGUUGAGUCAGCAUCCCUGGAUGUGAUUAAAAACCAUUUGGAUGUGGUGCUCAGGGACGUGAUUUAGUGGUGGGUUGUUAGAGUUAGGGUAGUGUGGUCAGGUUGUGGUUGGACUUGAUGAUCUUGAAGGUCUUCUCUAACCUGAGCAAUUCUAUGAUUCUAUGCUGAGGGUGGUAAGUGGAAGAAAAACAAUGCAGGCAGAAGCAGAAUCCAAAUGGAAAAUCAUCCGGGCAAAAGAAGUUAUUUCUUUGGAGUAGUUGCUAGUGGACUCUUAGGUGGUGGUAUUUUAGUGGAGCUAUGUUGGGGGCAAUUACUGAAGCAGUGAGAUGAGUUCGUCCGAACCAGAACAUACAAGAUCUGUAACAGACACAUAGCUCUUGCUAGUUGAAACUGGUGGCAUUACUUUUAGAGGGGGAAAGUAGAUUUCAAUCAUAAAGAUAGCUUGUCUUUUUUCAUAGAUUACGAGAGAAAGAUGAAACAAAUUGACCAUUUUUUGUGCUACAGUCUUGAUUUCUAUGUAAUGCUGCUGCUGCUGUUCUAAAUCAGCUCAAUCUGUGCUGUCAGAGCAGGAGGGUAAUGAAUAAAAUGGUCACCUCAAGUUUCCCCAUCAAGUGGGUUCAAAAGAAGUAAAUCAGCACAGAGAGCAGGAAUGAUUUUUUUCAGCUUCAAACAGGGAAGAGAUUCUGCUGACGUUCUGUUGAGCCAACAGCAUUCAUCAGCUCCUUUCCCUGCUUUGGGUUCGCUGUGAAUAGUUCUGCUCUGUAAGCUUUUCCCACAAAGGUAACCUUGUGUUUGUCUCAUAACCAGUGGCUGCCUUUGAAAUGCUGGUGAAUUGAAAUCACAAGGAGCAUUUCCCUGGUGCUUACAUGUAUGAUAAUACAAGCUUAGAGCAGGAAUAUGCAGCAGUAUUUUUCUCCCUUCGUUUACUUACACCAAGGCUCAAAGCUUGCCUGUGGUUAAAUCCAACUCCAGCUUGUGGGUUGCAGUGUGAGAGACAGUGAAUGGAAUAUCAAGGAUGUUUUCAGACUGCACAGAAC